GGGGUUGUGGCUCAGUGGUAAAGCACUUGCCAGCAUGCAUGAGUCCCUGGGUUCAAUCCUCAGCACCGCA
RNAcentral lists this transfer RNA (70 nucleotides) under Marmota monax (woodchuck). RNAcentral's name for it is "tRNA.Undet". The record is from RNAcentral. Lineage: Eukaryota; Metazoa; Chordata; Mammalia; Rodentia; Sciuridae.